Molecule: ribosomal RNA, 469 nt
Filed under: uncultured Acidobacteriota bacterium
Lineage: Bacteria; Pseudomonadati; Acidobacteriota
Description: bacterial SSU rRNA
Rfam family: Bacterial small subunit ribosomal RNA
Source: RNAcentral
GGCGUCCGGGUGAGUAACGCGUAGGUAAUCUACCUUCGGGUGGGGAAUAACCCAGGGAAACUUGGGCUAAUACCGCAUAAUGCAGCGGCUCGACAUCGAGACAGUUGUUAAAGCAGCAAUGCGCCUGAAGAGGAGCCUGCGUCUGAUUAGCUACUUGGUGAGGUAAUGGCUCACCAAGGCUACGAUCAGUAGCUGGUCUGAGAGGACGGACAGCCACAAUGGCACUGAAACACGGGCCAUACUCCUACGGGAGGCAGCAGUGGGGAAUUUUGCGCAAUGGGCGAAAGCCUGACGCAGAAACGACGCGUGAAGGAUGAAAUCCUUCGGGAUGUAAACUUCGCAAGUAUGGGAAGAAAUAAAUGACGGUACCAUACGUAAGACCCGGCUAACUCCGUGCCAGCAGCCGCGGUAAUACGGGGGGGGCAAGCGUAGUACGGAAUUACUGGGCGUAAAGCGCGUGAAGGCGGCU